AACGAAGGGUGCGAGCGUUAAUCGGAAUUACUGGGCGUAAAGCGCGCGUAGGUGGUUAAGUAAGCGAUCUGUGAAAGCCCCGGGCUUAACCUGGGAACUGCAGGUCGAACUGCUUGGCUAGAGUAUGGUAGAGGGGUGUGGAAUUUCCUGUGUAGCGGUGAAAUGCGUAGAUAUAGGAAGGAACAUCAGUGGCGAAGGCGACACCCUGGACCGAUACUGACACUGAGGCGCGAAAGCGUGGGUAGCGAACAGG
This 253-nucleotide ribosomal RNA is filed under the name uncultured bacterium. RNAcentral describes it as "partial 16S ribosomal RNA". It matches the Rfam family "Bacterial small subunit ribosomal RNA", at positions 524 to 776 of the family's 1533-position model. The record is from RNAcentral.